AAUGCCCUAACUGUCAAUUUUCAUUCAAUUUUUACAAUUGUAAGAAGCUCCAGCGUGGCGUCACAGGAAAAAUUGUGACCAACGUGGCAGUCAAAGUGUUAGGAAACACCGAAACAGCUAGAAUUCCUGUACUACACAUGCGAGUGGAAGUAAAGUUCAAAUCUCCACAAUGUAAGAACUCGUCAAGUUGUCUCGAAAUUGAGAUACAAAGGCGCGACGCUAACCAGAAUCGAAAUGAAAUUAAAAAUACAAUGGAGAAUAAAGGUCCAAAGCGACACGAUUAUUAUGAAGCCGACCUUUCGAAUUAAUAGACGCGGAUCGUACCUCGUCGACCGUACCGCACGGCUAGUUACGACUUCGAAGAGGUCGUCGCGGGAACGCCAACGACGACGACGACGCGUCACCGAGUUCCCGAAGAAAAUUACGAACUUUCUCGUGGUUCUCUCUAGUUUAAGGUGUCCGCUGAUGAAACUCGUGGGAGUCGACCGAUAUCCCAGCUACCGUUCAUCAUCGAGCAGACAAUUGUCUGCAACUACUGGAUCUUCGACGCGACGAAUAAAAUCGGAGCAACGAUGGUGCUAGUCUAAAGCUAUAUUGCAAAGAUACAUUCUAAUGUAUAUAUGUACAGUGACUCACGGAAAUAUUUGAACAUUUAACACGGAAAGGUUUAACGAAUAUGUUACGCGUUUUACGGAGAUUUUUACAAUUCCAUUGGAACUAUAACGGGGCAUUAUAAUUAAAUAAUAAUUAAAAAUAAGAUAAUAAUUUAAAAUCAGUACGAAGUUGUACGUAGAAGUUACAAGAUUUUUAUUGCAAACGCACUCUUAGUAAGAAAUUAGCACGUGAAACCUGGAACGUACAGUUAACGUUAAAGGUGAUGAUUCUUCUUAAUAUAGAAAAAAACUUUUUAAUUUAGAAUUUCAAAGAUCUGAAAUUAAUACGCGAUAAAGAGGCUAGUACGAAAGGACUUGGAGAUGUUAAACGUUAAUAAUACAAAAAUUAACGUAAUGACAGCUUCUGCAGUUAAUACGUUCUACCUUGCUUUUGACAGCGAAAUUUCACUGAAAUUUCCUGUAGAGGCUUUUAUUAUAUUAUCAGGCAAGUUACGUAAUUAGGUAGAAUUGACAGCGAAGUUUUCUCGCUGAAACUUCUUUUAGAAACUUCUAUUAAUUUAA
Molecule: long non-coding RNA, 1175 nt
Organism: Bombus terrestris (buff-tailed bumblebee)
Lineage: Eukaryota; Metazoa; Arthropoda; Insecta; Hymenoptera; Apidae
Exons: 2
Source: RefSeq, a predicted model, not a curated record